RNAcentral lists this ribosomal RNA (433 nucleotides) under uncultured bacterium. Its description in RNAcentral is "partial 16S ribosomal RNA". It matches the Rfam family "Bacterial small subunit ribosomal RNA", at positions 29 to 507 of the family's 1533-position model. The record is from RNAcentral.
AACGAACGCUGGCGGCAUGCCUAACACAUGCAAGUCGAACGAGACCUUCGGGUCUAGUGGCGCACGGGUGCGUAACGCGUGGGAAUCUGCCCUUGGGUUCGGAAUAACAGUUGGAAACGACUGCUAAUACCGGAUGAUGACGUAAGUCCAAAGAUUUAUCGCCCAGGGAUGAGCCCGCGUAGGAUUAGCUAGUUGGUGGGGUAAAGGCCUACCAAGGCGACGAUCCUUAGCUGGUCUAAGAGGAUGAUCAGCCACACUGGGACUGAGACACGGCCCAGACUCCUACGGGAGGCAGCAGUGGGGAAUAUUGGACAAUGGGCGAAAGCCUGAUCCAGCAAUGCCGCGUGAGUGAUGAAGGCCUUAGGGUUGUAAAGCUCUUUUACCCGGGAUGAUAAUGACAGUACCGGGAGAAUAAGCCCCGGCUAACUCCGUG